ACGGUACCUGACGAGGAAGCCACGGCUAACUACGUGCCAGCAGCCGCGGUAAUACGUAGGUGGCGAGCGUUGUCCGGAAUUAUUGGGCGUAAAGGGAGCGCAGGUGGGAAAGUAAGUCUGCUUUAAAAGUGCGGGGCUCAACCCCGUGAGGGAGUGGAAACUAUUUUUCUUGAGUGCAGGAGAGGAAAGCGGAAUUCCUAGUGUAGCGGUGAAAUGCGUAGAUAUUAGGAGGAACACCAGUGGCGAAGGCGGCUUUCUGGACUGUAACUGACACUGAGGCUCGAAAGCCAGGGGAGCGAACGGGAUUAGAUACCCCGGUAGUCCUGGCCGUAAACGAUGGAUACUAGGUGUAGGAGGUAUCGACCCCUUCUGUGCCGGAGUUAACGCAAUAAGUAUCCCGCCUGGGGAGUACGAUCGCAAGAUUGAAACUCAAAGGAAUUGACGGGGGCCCGCACAAGCGGUGGAGUAUGUGGUUUAAUUCGACGCAACGCGAAGAACCUUACCAAGGCUUGACAUUGAGUGAAAAUGCUAGAGAUAGCAUCCUUUCCUUCGGG
This 554-nucleotide ribosomal RNA is filed under the name uncultured bacterium. Its description in RNAcentral is "bacterial SSU rRNA". It matches the Rfam family "Bacterial small subunit ribosomal RNA", at positions 472 to 1024 of the family's 1533-position model. The record is from RNAcentral.